GAGGGCGCUGAGGACGGGGCGCUGGAGAAGCUGCGGGGCUGGAGCCGAUCCAUCGAGGACCUGCACCCCCCCGGGGCCCCCCCGGCUCCGUUCGGCAGCGGCUGGGCACGUUCGGCCCGACACGGAGCCCUGCGGUGCGUGCCCACCCUGCGCCGUCCUUGGUCACGCGUGCCCUGGGUGCCAUGUGCUGUGCGUGCCACGUGUCACUCUGUCCUGUGUGUGCCAUCCUGUGCCACGUGUGCCAUGCCAUGCACGGUCCUGCGCCAUGUGUGCCAUGUGCUCUGUGUGCGACGUGUCACUCUGUGCCAUGUUCUCUGUGCCAUGUGCCAUCCUGUGCCAUCCUGUGCCAUGCCAUGCACUGUCCUGUGCCGUGUGUGCCAUCCUGUGCCACGUGUGCCACGCUGUGCAUCAUCCUGUGCCACGUGUGCCAUGCCAUGCACUGCCCUGUGCCGUGUGUGCCAUGCUGUGUGCUGUCCCGUGUGCCAUUCUGUGCCAUGCGUGCCAUGCCAUGCACUGUCCUGUGCCGUGUGCGCCAUGUGCUCUGUGUGCCAUGUGUCACUCUGUGCCAUGUGCUCUGUGUGCCAUGCACUGUCCUGUGCCAUGUGUGCCAUGUGUUCUGUGUGCCGUGUGUCACUCUGUGCUGUGCGCUCUGUGCCAUGUGUGCCAUCCUGUGCCAUCCUGUGCCAUGCCAUGCCCUGUUCUGUGCCACGUGUGCCAUCCUGUGCCAUGUGUGCCAUGCCAUGCACUGUCCUGUGCCAUGUGUGCCAUCCUGUGCCACAUGUGCCAUGCCAUGCACUGUCCUGUGCCGUGUGUGCCACGUGUGCCAUCCUGUGCCAUGCGUGCCAUGCCAUGCCCUGUUCUGUGCCAUGUGUGCCAUCCUGUGCCAUGCGUGCCAUGUGCUCUGUGUGCCAUGUGUCACUCUGUGCCGUGUUCUCUGUGCCAUGUAUGCCAUGCCAUGCCCUGUUCUGUGCCAUGUGUGCCAUGCCAUGCCCUGUUCUGUGCCAUGUGUGCCAUCCUGUGCCACCUUUGUGGUGCCACACGCUGUCCUGUGUGUGCCACGCCGUGUGCUGCUGUGCCCCGUGUUGCAUGCCAUGCCGUGCCGUGCCGUGCCAUGCUGUGCCACGCUGUGCCGUGCUAUACUGUGCUGUGCCAUGCUGUGCCAUGCCAUGCUGUGCCGUGCUGUGCUGUGCCAUGCUGUGCUGUGCUAUUCCAUGCCAUGCCAUGCUGUGCCAUGCCGUGCUGUGCCAUGCCAUGCCAUGCCAUGCCAUGCCGUGCCAUGCUGUGCUGUGCUAUGCCAUGCCAUGCCAUGCCGUGCCAUACUGUUGCAUGCCAUGCCGUGCUGUGCCAUGCCAUGCCAUGCCAUGCUGUGCUAUUCGAUGCUGUGCCAUGCCAUGCCAUGCUGUGCCGUGCCAUGCGGUGCUAUGCCAUGCCAUGCUGUGCCAUGCCAUACUGUUGCAUGCCAUGCCGUGCUGUGCCAUGCCGUGCCAUGCCGUGCCAUGCCAUGCCGUGCCAUGCUAUGCCGUGCCAUGCUGUGCUAUGCUAUGCCAUCCCAUGCCGUGCCAUGGCCAUGCUGUGCCAUGCCAUGCCGUGCCACACCGUGCCAUGCUGUUCCAUGCUGUUGCAUGCCGUUGCAUGCCAUGCCGUGCCAUGCCGUGCCAUGCCGUGCCAUGCUGUGCCAUGCCAUGCCAUUGCAUGCCAUGCCGUGCCAUGCCGUGCCAUGCUGUGUCAUGCCAUGCCAUUGCAUGCCAUGCUGUGCCGUGCCAUGCUGUGCCGUGCCCCCCACCCCCGUCCCCGCUGUCCCCGCUCUGACGCCGCUCUCUGCCCGCAGUGCUGCGCUGUCUCGUCCCCGCGCUCUGUUUCUGUUUCUGCGCCGCUCCCCG
Molecule: long non-coding RNA, 1880 nt
Filed under: Numida meleagris (helmeted guineafowl)
Lineage: Eukaryota; Metazoa; Chordata; Aves; Galliformes; Numididae
Description: lncRNA (ENSNMEG00000003676.1)
Source: RNAcentral